GAUUGCCAUUACUGUGUCAAUUGCAAAUCUUGUUCAGCUGAAGUUACAGAGCACGAAGGAUCAAAUAAUCUUGUUCUUCCUGGUGUUCAUACACAGUUAAGAUCACCCCAGAAUUUAGGCACUGAUAAUCCAAAUGACAAACAUACAGUAACCAAUGCGCCAAUGCCAUCAACGUCAUUUUCUCUACCCAGUUCCCUUGGAAGAAAUAUUAAGAAACUAGAGGGUUCAAAUGAAGCUUUGAAUAUUGGUCGUGGGUUUGGGAACAAAACUGGUGCCAGCAGCUUGAUGAGAAUAUCUUCGGCUAAG
This 306-nucleotide unclassified non-coding RNA is filed under the name Hevea brasiliensis (rubber tree). Lineage: Eukaryota; Viridiplantae; Streptophyta; Magnoliopsida; Malpighiales; Euphorbiaceae. The record is from RNAcentral.